AGAGUUUGAUCCUGGCUCAGGAUGAACGCUAGCGGGAGGCUUAACACAUGCAAGUCGAGGGGCAGCACGGGGUAGCAAUACUCUGGUGGCGACCGGCGCACGGGUGAGUAACACGUAUGCAACCUACCUCGUACAGGGGGAUAACCCGGAGAAAUUCGGACUAAUAUCCCAUAAUGAUAUUAAGAGGCAUCUUUUAAUAUUUAAAGCUCAGGCGGUACGGGAUGGGCAUGCGGAACAUUAGCUAGUUGGUAGGGUAACGGCCUACCAAGGCUGCGAUGUUUAGGGGACCUGAGAGGGUUAUCCCCCACACUGGUACUGAGACACGGACCAGACUCCUACGGGAGGCAGCAGUGAGGGAUAUUGGUCAAUGGGCGCAAGCCUGAACCAGCCAUCCCGCGUGAAGGAAGAAGGCGCUAUGCGUUGUAAACUUCUUUUCCAGGGGGAGAAUUUUCCGGUCGUGACCGGGAUUGACGGUACUCUGGGAAUAAGCAUCGGCUAACUCCGUGCCAGCAGCCGCGGUAAUACGGAGGAUGCGAGCGUUAUCCGGAUUUAUUGGGUUUAAAGGGUGCGUAGGCGGAUCAAUAAGUCAGUGGUGAAAUUCUGCAGCUUAACUGUAGACUUGCCAUUGAUACUGUUGGUCUUGAGUAUGGUCAAGGUAGGCGGAAUGUGUAAUGUAGCGGUGAAAUGCUUAGAUAUUACACAGAACACCGAUUGCGAAGGCAGCUUGCUGGGCCAAUACUGACGCUGAUGCACGAAAGCGUGGGGAUCGAACAGGAUUAGAUACCCUGUAGUCCACGCCGUAAACGAUGAUCACUCGCUGUUAGCGAUAUACAGUUAGCGGCUAAGCAAAAGCAUUAAGUGAUCCACCUGGGGAGUACGGCCGCAAGGCUGAAACUCAAAGGAAUUGACGG
Molecule: ribosomal RNA, 911 nt
Filed under: uncultured bacterium
Lineage: Bacteria
Description: bacterial SSU rRNA
Rfam family: Bacterial small subunit ribosomal RNA
Source: RNAcentral